GGUUGAUCCUGCCAGUAAUCAUAUGCUUGUCUUAAAGAUUAAGCCAUGCAUGUCUAAGUAUAAGCAAUUUAUACGGCGAAACUGCGAACGGCUCAUUAAAUCAGUUAUAGUUUAUUUGAUAGUACCUUUACUACAUGGAUAACCGUAGUAAUUCUAGAGCUAAUACAUGCUAAAAGCCCUGGUCUUUAAUCUUGGUCAGGGUGUAUUUAUUAGAUAAAAAACCAAUGCGGGGCAACCCGGUUUGUUGAUGAUUCAUAAUAACUUCGCGAAUCGCAUGGCCUUGAGCCGGCGA
RNAcentral lists this ribosomal RNA (292 nucleotides) under uncultured eukaryote. Its description in RNAcentral is "partial 18S ribosomal RNA". It matches the Rfam family "Eukaryotic small subunit ribosomal RNA", at positions 6 to 290 of the family's 1831-position model. The record is from RNAcentral.